AUUGAACGCUGGCGGCAUGCUUUACACAUGCAAGUCGGACGGCAGCACAGAGAAGCUUGCUUCUUGGGUGGCGAGUGGCGAACGGGUGAGUAACAUAUCGGAACGUACCGAGCAGUGGGGGAUAACUAAUCGAAAGAUUAGCUAAUACCGCAUAUUUUCUGAGGAAGAAAGCAGGGGACCAUUUGGCCUUGCGCUGUUUGAGCGGCCGAUAUCUGAUUAGCUAGUUGGUGGGGUAAAGGCCUACCAAGGCGACGAUCAGUAGCGGGUCUGAGAGGAUGAUCCGCCACACUGGGACUGAGACACGGCCCAGACUCCUACGGGAGGCAGCAGUGGGGAAUUUUGGACAAUGGGCGCAAGCCUGAUCCAGCCAUGCCGCGUGUCUGAAGAAGGCCUUCGGGUUGUAAAGGACUUUUGUCAGGGAAGAAAAGGGCGGGGUUAAUACCCCUGUCUGAUGACGGUACCUGAAGAAUAAGCACCG
Molecule: ribosomal RNA, 478 nt
Filed under: Neisseria flava
Lineage: Bacteria; Pseudomonadati; Pseudomonadota; Betaproteobacteria; Neisseriales; Neisseriaceae
Description: bacterial SSU rRNA
Rfam family: Bacterial small subunit ribosomal RNA
Source: RNAcentral